CACGUAGGGUGCGAGCGUUGUCCGGAAUUAUUGGGCGUAAAGAGCUCGUAGGCGGUGUGUCGCGUCGGCCGUGAAAACCUGCAGCUUAACUGUGGGCUUGCGGUCGAUACGGGCAUCACUGGAGUUCGGCAGGGGAGACUGGAAUUCCUGGUGUAGCGGUGAAAUGCGUAGAGAUCAGGCGGAACACCCGUGGCGAAGGCGGCCAGCUGGGCCGUCCCUGACGCUGAGGCGCGAAAGCGUGGGGAGCGAACAGG
This 254-nucleotide ribosomal RNA is filed under the name uncultured bacterium. Its description in RNAcentral is "partial 16S ribosomal RNA". It matches the Rfam family "Bacterial small subunit ribosomal RNA", at positions 524 to 776 of the family's 1533-position model. The record is from RNAcentral.